UUAAGCGACUAAGCGUACACGGUGGAUGCCCUGGCAGUCAGAGGCGAUGAAGGGCGUGCUAAUCUGCGAUAAGCGCCGGUAAGGUGAUAUGAACCGUUAUAACCGGCGAUACCCGAAUGGGGAAACCCAGUGUGAUUCGUCACACUAUCAUUAACUGAAUCCAUAGGUUAAUGAGGCGAACCGGGGGAACUGAAACAUCUAAGUACCCCGAGGAAAAGAAAUCAACCGAGAUUCCCCCAGUAGCGGCGAGCGAACGGGGAGGAGCCCAGAGCCUGAAUCAGCAUGUGUGUUAGUGGAAGCGUCUGGAAAGGCGCGCGAUACAGGGUGACAGCCCCGUACACAAAAGCGCAUGUGCUGUGAGCUCGAUGAGUAGGGCGGGACACGUGGUAUCCUGUCUGAAUAUGGGGGGACCAUCCUCCAAGGCUAAAUACUCCUGACUGACCGAUAGUGAACCAGUACCGUGAGGGAAAGGCGAAAAGAACCCCGGCGAGGGGAGUGAAAAAGAACCUGAAACCGUGUACGUACAAGCAGUGGGAGCACAGGUUUACCUGUGUGACUGCGUACCUUUUGUAUAAUGGGUCAGCGACUUAUAUUCUGUAGCAAGGUUAACCGCAUAGGGGAGCCGGAGGGAAACCGAGUCUUAAUUGGGCGUUAAGUUGCAGGGUAUAGACCCGAAACCCGGUGAUCUAGCCAUGGGCAGGUUGAAGGUUGGGUAACACUAACUGGAGGACCGAACCGACUAAUGUUGAAAAAUUAGCGGAUGACCUGUGGCUGGGGGUGAAAGGCCAAUCAAACCGGGAGAUAGCUGGUUCUCCCCGAAAGCUAUUUAGGUAGCGCCUCGUGAAUUCAUCUCCGGGGGUAGAGCACUGUUUCGGCUAGGGGGCCAUCCCGGCUUACCAACCCGAUGCAAACUGCGAAUACCGGAGAAUGUUAUCACGGGAGACACACGGCGGGUGCUAACGUCCGUCGUGAAGAGGGAAACAACCCAGACCGCCAGCUAAGGUCCCAAAGUCAUGGUUAAGUGGGAAACGAUGUGGGAAGGCCCAGACAGCCAGGAUGUUGGCUUAGAAGCAGCCAUCAUUUAAAGAAAGCGUAAUAGCUCACUGGUCGAGUCGGCCUGCGCGGAAGAUGUAACGGGGCUAAACCAUGCACCGAAGCUGCGGCAGCGACGCUGAUGCGUUGUUGGGUAGGGGAGCGUUCUGUAAGCCUGUGAAGGUGGCCUGUGAGGGUUGCUGGAGGUAUCAGAAGUGCGAAUGCUGACAUAAGUAACGAUAAAGCGGGUGAAAAGCCCGCUCGCCGGAAGACCAAGGGUUCCUGUCCAACGUUAAUCGGGGCAGGGUGAGUCGACCCCUAAGGCGAGGCCGAAAGGCGUAGUCGAUGGGAAACGGGUUAAUAUUCCCGUACUUGGUGUUACUGCGAAGGGGGGACGGAGAAGGCUAUGUUGGCCGGGCGACGGUUGUCCCGGUUUAAGCGUGUAGGUGUGUGUUCCAGGUAAAUCCGGUUCACUUUAACACUGAGGCGUGACGACGAGGCACUACGGUGCUGAAGCAACAAAUGCCCUGCUUCCAGGAAAAGCCUCUAAGCAUCAGGUAACAUCAAAUCGUACCCCAAACCGACACAGGUGGUCAGGUAGAGAAUACCAAGGCGCUUGAGAGAACUCGGGUGAAGGAACUAGGCAAAAUGGUGCCGUAACUUCGGGAGAAGGCACGCUGACAUGUAGGUGAAGUGAUUUACUCAUGGAGCUGAAGUCAGUCGAAGAUACCAGCUGGCUGCAACUGUUUAUUAAAAACACAGCACUGUGCAAACACGAAAGUGGACGUAUACGGUGUGACGCCUGCCCGGUGCCGGAAGGUUAAUUGAUGGGGUCAGCGCAAGCGAAGCUCCUGAUCGAAGCCCCGGUAAACGGCGGCCGUAACUAUAACGGUCCUAAGGUAGCGAAAUUCCUUGUCGGGUAAGUUCCGACCUGCACGAAUGGCGUAAUGAUGGCCAGGCUGUCUCCACCCGAGACUCAGUGAAAUUGAACUCGCUGUGAAGAUGCAGUGUACCCGCGGCAAGACGGAAAGACCCCGUGAACCUUUACUAUAGCUUGACACUGAACAUUGAGCCUUGAUGUGUAGGAUAGGUGGGAGGCUUUGAAGUGUGGACGCCAGUCUGCAUGGAGCCGACCUUGAAAUACCACCCUUUAAUGUUUGAUGUUCUAACGUGGACCCGUAAUCCGGGUUGCGGACAGUGUCUGGUGGGUAGUUUGACUGGGGCGGUCUCCUCCUAAAGAGUAACGGAGGAGCACGAAGGUUGGCUAAUCCUGGUCGGACAUCAGGAGGUUAGUGCAAUGGCAUAAGCCAGCUUGACUGCGAGCGUGACGGCGCGAGCAGGUGCGAAAGCAGGUCAUAGUGAUCCGGUGGUUCUGAAUGGAAGGGCCAUCGCUCAACGGAUAAAAGGUACUCCGGGGAUAACAGGCUGAUACCGCCCAAGAGUUCAUAUCGACGGCGGUGUUUGGCACCUCGAUGUCGGCUCAUCACAUCCUGGGGCUGAAGUAGGUCCCAAGGGUAUGGCUGUUCGCCAUUUAAAGUGGUACGCGAGCUGGGUUUAGAACGUCGUGAGACAGUUCGGUCCCUAUCUGCCGUGGGCGCUGGAGAACUGAGGGGGGCUGCUCCUAGUACGAGAGGACCGGAGUGGACGCAUCACUGGUGUUCGGGUUGUCAUGCCAAUGGCACUGCCCGGUAGCUAAAUGCGGAAGAGAUAAGUGCUGAAAGCAUCUAAGCACGAAACUUGCCCCGAGAUGAGUUCUCCCUGAGACUUAGAGUCUCCUGAAGGAACGUUGAAGACGACGACGUUGAUAGGCCGGGUGUGUAAGCGCAGCGAUGCGUUGAGCUAACCGGUACUAAUGAACCGUGAGGCUUAACCUU
RNAcentral lists this ribosomal RNA (2906 nucleotides) under Salmonella enterica subsp. enterica. RNAcentral's name for it is "23S ribosomal RNA". It matches the Rfam family "Bacterial large subunit ribosomal RNA". Lineage: Bacteria; Pseudomonadati; Pseudomonadota; Gammaproteobacteria; Enterobacterales; Enterobacteriaceae. The record is from RNAcentral.